This 72-nucleotide transfer RNA is filed under the name Candidatus Caldipriscus sp. RNAcentral's name for it is "tRNA-Ala". It matches the Rfam family "tRNA". Rfam says of the family: Transfer RNA (tRNA) molecules are approximately 80 nucleotides in length. The record is from RNAcentral. Lineage: Bacteria; Candidatus Caldipriscota.
GGGGCGGUAGCUCAGCGGGAGAGCACCUGGUUUGCAACCAGGGGGUCGGGGGUUCAAGUCCCCUCCGCUCCA